GAGCGCGGGUCUUCCCUGUCAGAUCACGAACACAGCUAGAAAGGGCUGGAGAGGUGCGCCUCUCGCUCAUCCCAAGGAGAGGCGAAAUGCCGUCCACAAAGCAACGGAACGCACCACUGCUCAGCGAAAUCCUCUCCCACAAGCUUCAGCAUCCAGUCUACAGCGUGAUGAGAUGAUGUGGCCUAGAGACAGUCACAGCCUCGUUCUGAGAGAUGAAAAAUUCCACAAAAUAGCAAGGCAAAAUAUGAAAUUUCACCCACAGCUUAUGUGCACCAUAUGGGUAUUGCAAUACAUAUUUCUAAAAAAAUUCUCUGCAAGAAAAUCUAUGUUAUUCACCAGCUUCAGAAGGUGACAAAGAAUGUGAAUGUCAAGAGAUGUGUUGCGAAAGCCUACCCACGGCAAUAGGGACAUUAACAGAGAGGAGAAAUAGGCCUAACACCCAUACUUCCUCCUAUACAUCCGCCUGAGACGGCCGAGUCAACCAAGCAUCUUGAAAAGAAACGAAAGUAUUCCACUGAUCGUCAUAUGCUUCGUCCAAGAUGCUUCGUCUCAAAGAAAAUACAAGGGGUGAUAAUAUAUCCAAAAUUUAGCUCCUGGAAAUGCUAGGAUUUUGUGUAUCAUUACAAAUUGGAUUUACUUUUGCUCCACAAGGAGCCUUCUCAUUUGAUCCUUUAUAAUCCCAACAAAUAAUGAUUUGCCAUCGUUCUAAAUAACCCAGGUCCAUUCUGUAGAGAACACUGAACAUUGAUGGUGAGGUGUGUGCUAGGUAAGAGCACCAAUAUCUCUAUCAGAUCAAUAUACGCACAUACAUCUGAUGCGGUCAGUCUGGCCCAAUAAAGCUUCCCUUUCUGUCUCCAACGGCUGGAACACCAAAGAAACUAAGAAAAGGACAGAUUUUAUUAUUCUGUAAAUUCCUUGAACUUUUUGUGACCUAAGGAAUUGGUGUUGGGUUUAUCUUUUAUUGUUUUGUUAUUUUUUGUGCUCAGGUAAAAGCUUUUGUCAUUCAUCAAUGAGAAAUUAAGUUCAAACCUUACGCGUGGGGAUAUAACAACUGUCAAGAUGGAAAUGCAAAGAAUAUAGAAUGAUCAUCAGAUCUACGGGAAAUACUGUAUAUUUAGAAAAAUGUGUUCUUUUUAAAUUUAUGCAAAAAGGAAAAUAAAUGAAAAAAUACAAGUCUGAACUAAUAGUAACUACUGUUUUUAAGAAUAAGCAUUGCAUAUGACUUGAAAAUAGAAUAUCUUAUUCAUUCUUUUUGUCACAUGAAUGAAAACACAAGAAAAUGCAUCGAUCAUUACAACCACCGCUACGAAAUCGAUGUGCUCUCUCUCUCUU
This 1332-nucleotide unclassified non-coding RNA is filed under the name Penaeus japonicus. RNAcentral's name for it is "uncharacterized LOC122265766, transcript variant X3". Lineage: Eukaryota; Metazoa; Arthropoda; Malacostraca; Decapoda; Penaeidae. The record is from RNAcentral.